UACAGAGGGUGCGAGCGUUGUCCGGAAUCACUGGGCGUAAAGGGCGCGUAGGCGGCCUGAUAAGUAGGGGGUGAAAUCCUGUGGCUUAACUGCAGGGCUGCCUCCUAGACUGUUAGGCUCGAGCACGGUAGAGGCAGAUGGAAUUCCAGGUGUAGCGGUGAAAUGCGUAGAUAUCUGGAGGAACACCGGUGGCGAAGGCGGCAUCCUGGACCGAGAUUGACGCUGAGGCGCGAAAGCCAGGGGAGCAAACGGG
This 253-nucleotide ribosomal RNA is filed under the name uncultured bacterium. RNAcentral's name for it is "partial 16S ribosomal RNA". It matches the Rfam family "Bacterial small subunit ribosomal RNA", at positions 524 to 776 of the family's 1533-position model. The record is from RNAcentral.